CCUACGGGUGGCAGCAGUAGGGAAUAUUGCUCAAUGGGGGAAACUCUGAAGCAGCAACGCCGCGUGGAGGAUGAAGGUUCUAGGAUUGGAAACUCUUUUUGUUAGAGAAGUUUAUGACUGUAUCUAACGAAUAAGCACCGGCUAACUCCGUGCCAGCAGCGGCGGUAAUACGGCGGAUGCAAGCGUUAUUCGGAAUCACUGGGCGUAAAGAGUGCGUAGGUGGGGUAAUAAGUCAGAUGUGAAAUCCUGAAGCUUAACUGUAGAAUUGCAUUUGAAACUGUUAAUCUGGAGUGUAGGAGAGGUAGGUGGAAUUCGUGGUGUAGGGGUAAAAUGCUGAGAUAGCAAGAAGAAUACUGAUUGCGAAGG
This 366-nucleotide ribosomal RNA is filed under the name uncultured bacterium. Its description in RNAcentral is "partial 16S ribosomal RNA". It matches the Rfam family "Bacterial small subunit ribosomal RNA", at positions 338 to 721 of the family's 1533-position model. The record is from RNAcentral.